Molecule: ribosomal RNA, 818 nt
Filed under: uncultured Corynebacterium sp.
Lineage: Bacteria; Bacillati; Actinomycetota; Actinomycetes; Mycobacteriales; Corynebacteriaceae
Description: bacterial SSU rRNA
Rfam family: Bacterial small subunit ribosomal RNA
Source: RNAcentral
GACGAACGCUGGCGGCGUGCUUAACACAUGCAAGUCGAACGGAAAGGCCCUGCUUGCAGGGUGCUCGAGUGGCGAACGGGUGAGUAACACGUGGGUGAUCUGCCCCUUACUUUGGGAUAAGCCUGGGAAACUGGGUCUAAUACUGGAUAGGACCAUGCUGUAGGUGGUGUGGUGGAAAGAUUUUUUCGGUAAGGGAUGAGCUCGCGGCCUAUCAGCUUGUUGGUGGGGUAAUGGCCUACCAAGGCGUCGACGGGUAGCCGGCCUGAGAGGGUGGACGGCCACAUUGGGACUGAGAUACGGCCCAGACUCCUACGGGAGGCAGCAGUGGGGAAUAUUGCACAAUGGGCGCAAGCCUGAUGCAGCGACGCCGCGUGGGGGAUGACGGCCUUCGGGUUGUAAACUCCUUUCAGCCAUGACGAAGCCUCUUUUGGGGUGACGGUAGUGGUAGAAGAAGCACCGGCUAACUACGUGCCAGCAGCCGCGGUAAUACGUAGGGUGCGAGCGUUGUCCGGAAUUACUGGGCGUAAAGAGCUCGUAGGUGGUCUGUCGCGUCAUUUGUGAAAGCCCGGGUGCUUAACUCCGGGUUGGCAGGUGAUACGGGCAUGACUGGAGUACUGGUAGGGGAGACUGGAAUUCCUGGUGUAGCGGUGAAAUGCGCACAUAUCACGGAGGAACCCCGGUGGCGAAGGCGGGGUCUCUGGGCAGUAACUGACCUGAAGGACGAAAGACGGGUAGUUAACAGGAUUAUAAACUCUGCUGUCCCGGUGGAAUUCUCAGUGCAUAUCAUGGUUACCGAUACCUUCGAUCUCGAGGGGGGC